UACGUAGGUGGCAAGCGUUGUCCGGAAUUAUUGGGCGUAAAGCGCGCGCAGGCGGCCUUUUAAGUCUGAUGUGAAAUCUUGCGGCUCAACCGCAAGCGGCCAUUGGAAACUGGGAGGCUUGAGUACAGAAGAGGAGAGUGGAAUUCCACGUGUAGCGGUGAAAUGCGUAGAUAUGUGGAGGAACACCAGUGGCGAAGGCGACUCUCUGGUCUGUAACUGACGCUGAGGCGCGAAAGCGUGGGGAGCAAACGGG
This 253-nucleotide ribosomal RNA is filed under the name uncultured bacterium. Its description in RNAcentral is "partial 16S ribosomal RNA". It matches the Rfam family "Bacterial small subunit ribosomal RNA", at positions 524 to 776 of the family's 1533-position model. The record is from RNAcentral.